RNAcentral lists this ribosomal RNA (253 nucleotides) under uncultured Acidobacteriota bacterium. RNAcentral's name for it is "uncultured Acidobacteria bacterium partial 16S ribosomal RNA". It matches the Rfam family "Bacterial small subunit ribosomal RNA", at positions 524 to 776 of the family's 1533-position model. The record is from RNAcentral. Lineage: Bacteria; Pseudomonadati; Acidobacteriota.
UACGGGGGGGGCAAGCGUUGUUCGGAAUUACUGGGCGUAAAGGGUCUGUAGGCGGCCAACUCAGUCGGACGUGAAAUCCCCCGGCUCAACCGGGGAACUGCGUCCGAUACUGGAUGGCUUGAAUCCGGGAGAGGGAUGCGGAAUUCCAGGUGUAGCGGUGAAAUGCGUAGAUAUCUGGAGGAACACCGGUGGCGAAGGCGGCAUCCUGGACCGGUAUUGACGCUGAGAGACGAAAGCCAGGGGAGCAAACGGG